RNA transcript from Tarenaya hassleriana, 2169 nucleotides. RefSeq lists it as uncharacterized. The transcript has 6 exons. Lineage: Eukaryota; Viridiplantae; Streptophyta; Magnoliopsida; Brassicales; Cleomaceae. The record is from RefSeq and is a predicted model, not a curated record.
CGUUCGAUCUAAUCCGGUCGGACCGGUGAAACGCUGGACGUAACCGGGAACCUUUUUAACCGGCCGCGAUUGAGCGUCACAAUUCCUACUCCGUCACCGUCUGAUAAAAACCGAAAUCCUAAGUUUCUCUCUUCAUUGUUCUCGCCGGGGCCGGUAAAUCGGAUUUCGGGACGACGAAGACUUGAUUGGUGUUUGUUCAUCUUCUUCAGGAACCCUAGGAAUUUACUUCUGAGAUAGAUUUUCGUAUCUGGAGCCGUUAUACAUUUAUAUAUUUAGCUAAAAGAAAUUCCAGGCAGAGUGCGCACUUGCAGUCGGUUUGUUGUCGGGUUCUGGAGGUGAUUUCUGUGUAGCUGUAGCAAACAAGAUGGUGAGAUUGUUCUUGUCUGAACCCAAAUGGGAUAAAGCUCACAAAAGUGGUGUCAUUGAUAGGGUAACGCCUCUUUUGAACGAAUUGGGUUCUCUAAUCCGAUCAUUGGUGGCUCAUGGAGGCAGAUCAGAAGCUAGAUUAUGGCUUUGUAGUACCUUAUCAGGUGCUUCUAUGGCUCGGAAACAGCAGCGCAAGAUUUUCAUGAGCUUAUUGAGAUCAAAGCCAAGAAAAAUGCAGUUAGUAUCUCGACUCCUUCAGAUGAUAAUCGAGAAGAAGCCACGGAAACUCGGGGCUGUGUUAGCCAAGAGAAGUCACAUACUCGAGAAAUUCUUCCAAGGGAAUCCAAAGCGAAUUCUACGAUGGUUUUCUGAUUUUGCUACCGACGGUGGUUCUGAUCACAAAAGAGGUGCCAAAGGAUUGGCUCAGUUUGCGUUUACGAAUCGUGAUAUUUGUUGGGAAGAGCUUGAAUGGCGUGGAAAACACGGGCAAUCACCUGCGGUGGUUGCCACAAAGCCUCAUUACCUUCUCGACCUGAAUGUCCAAAAAACCGUUGAAAAUUUCCUCGAUAACGUUCCUGAAUUCUGGUCUUCCAAUGAGUUUGCCGAGACACUCAGAGAUGGUCAGAUCUUAUUCCUCGAUACCGAUUUUUUUCUGGAUCUUUUUGUCCGUUUUAUGUACGAAGAAGAUGUGGAAGAUGUUUGGCAUGCUGUGGAUGAUUUUCUUAUGGAGGAAUCAUUCUCCUCUUUAACACAGCAUCUCCUCAUCACUCUUGAAGAAGGCGGCCUAUGUCACUUCCUCGAGUUGCUUCAGGAAUAUGUCGACCCUACACUGGAACCGUUGGAUUUUGAUGAUUCUUCCUUCUGGGUUCGUGUUGUUCUCGCCGAAUAUGGCGGUAGGGAAUCUAUUGACGAGGUGCUUCUGUUGAAUUGUGUGAUCAAUCAAGGUAGACAGCUUCUACGGCUUGUGCGGGAUGAGAACAUUAACGAUGACCAAGACAGGAUGAAAGAAAUCGUGACAGAUAUUUGUCGGGUCUUGGACAAUACCGGUAGUUUUUCUCUAGCUCUGAAAGAGUUUUCAGAGAUGAAAAGCAUCGAGGCCAUUAAGUUACUCGGGCUACUUUCUUGGAUUGUUCACUUCAGAUUAUCAGAUGAAUGUCAGACUCCAGAUUCUUGGGAAUCUUUGUUUAGGGAGAACGGCAUUGAGUUCCGUAGAUCCAGUGACCACUCAAUGGUUAGUCCUAAUGGAUUCUCGGGAGAAACCGAGUCUGACUCGGAUGAUAAAAGCCGUGGUGCUAAAACGAGGCACAAGAAGGAGAAAAGCAAAAGGAGAAAGAAGAAGAGAAGAACCGAUGAUCUUGAUCUCAGUGAUGACGAGCUUCUUCUAGGUUUGCAUCAGAGAAGUCGAAGUUGGUUGCUAUCCACAGAUGAGUUUUCUACUACAUGGACCAACGUUGAUUUGCCGGGAUACAUAUCAAGGUAUUGUUUGUGCAGAUGGAUCAAGUGGCUUGCGGCCAGACAGCAAUGAGCAAUAGGUUCUCGAGCAUUAAAAUCUGUGACAAGCUGAUACAAUUUACGUAGAUACCAAAAGAUGUGAGCACUGAUGUUACGUUACGAUCCCGAAACCUGGAAAUGGUCAUCUAGCUUCCCUGAUGGUGCCAAAGUCAGGCACGAUAGCAAACACGGGGAAGGUUUCAUUAAGCAGAAGCAGAAGGUCGACCGAGGAGAUAAUAUAGAAACGCUCAUGAGUCUUUCAGGUCAGAGAAGUUUUGUAUUAAAUAUGAACUGAGAUUCUGUUCAGAACAG